AGCUACAGGCUUAACACAUGCAAGUCGAGGGGCAGCAUGGUCUUAGCUUGCUAAGGCCGAUGGCGACCGGCGCACGGGUGAGUAACGCGUAUCCAACCUGCCUUACACUCUUGGACAGCCUUCUGAAAGGGAGAUUAAUACAAGAUGUUAUCAUGAGUAAGCAUUUUCGCAUGAUUAAAGGUUUACCGGUGUAAGAUGGGGAUGCGUUCCAUUAGAUAGUAGGCGGGGUAACGGCCCACCUAGUCUUCGAUGGAUAGGGGUUCUGAGAGGAAGGUCCCCCACAUUGGAACUGAGACACGGUCCAAACUCCUACGGGAGGCAGCAGUGAGGAAUAUUGGUCAAUGGACGAGAGUCUGAACCAGCCAAGUAGCGUGAAGGAUGAAGGUUCUAUGGAUUGUAAACUUCUUUUAUACGGGAAUAAACGAAUCCACGUGUGGAUUUUUGCAUGUACCGUAUGAAUAAGGAUCGGCUAACUCCGUGCCAGCAGCCGCGGUAAUACGGAGGAUCCGAGCGUUAUCCGGAUUUAUUGGGUUUAAAGGGAGCGUAGAUGGGUUGUUAAGUCAGUUGUGAAAGUUUGCGGCUCAACCGUAAAAUUGCAAUUGAUACUGGCAGUCUUGAGUACAGUUGAGGUAGGCGGAAUUCGUGGUGUAGCGGUGAAAUGCUUAGAUAUCACGAAGAACUCCGAUUGCGAAGGCAGCUUACUAACCUGUAACUGACAUUGAUGCUCGAAAGUGUGGGUAUCAAACAGGAUUAGAUACCCUGGUAGUCCACACGGUAAACGAUGAAUACUCGCUGUAGGCGAUAUACAGUCUGCGGCCAAGCGAAAGCAUUAAGUAUUCCACCUGGGGAGUACGCCGGCAACGGUGAAACUCAAAGGAAUUGACGGGGGCCCGCACAAGCGGAGGAACAUGUGGUUUAAUUCGAUGAUACGCGAGGAACCUUACCCGGGCUUAAAUUGCAACCGAAUAUGGCGGAAACGCUAUAGCUAGCAAUAGCGGUUGUGAAGGUGCUGCAUGGUUGUCGUCAGCUCGUGCCGUGAGGUGUCGGCUUAAGUGCCAUAACGAGCGCAACCCUUGCCGAUAGUUACUAACAGGUCAUGCUGAGGACUCUGUCGGGACUGCCAUCGUAAGAUGUGAGGAAGGUGGGGAUGACGUCAAAUCAGCACGGCCCUUACGUCCGGGGCUACACACGUGUUACAAUGGGGGGUACAGAGGGCUGCUACCACGCAAGUGGAUGCCAAUCCCAAAAACCUCUCUCAGUUCGGAUUGAAGUCUGCAACCCGACUUCAUGAAGCUGGAUUCGCUAGUAAUCGCGCAUCAGCCACGGCGCGGUGAAUACGUUCCCGGGCCUUGUACACACCGCCCGUCAAGCCAUGGGAGCCGGGGGUACCUGAAGUGCGUAACCGCAAGGAGCGCCCUAGGGUAAAACUGGUGACUGGGGCUAAA
Molecule: ribosomal RNA, 1445 nt
Filed under: uncultured organism
Description: SSU rRNA
Rfam family: Bacterial small subunit ribosomal RNA
Source: RNAcentral